AUUAACGCGAAGAACCUUACCUGGGCUCGAACGGCUUCUGACGUUCCCUGGAAACAGGGGAUUUCCCGCAAGGGACAGGAGUCGAGGUGCUGCAUGGCUGUCGUCAGCUCGUGUCGUGAGAUGUUGGGUUAAGUCCCGCAACGAGCGCAACCCUUGUCCUGUGUUGCAACCCGAAAGGGGCACUCUCAGGAGACCGCCAGCGAUAAGCUGGAGGAAGGUGGGGAUGACGUCAAGUCAUCAUGGCCUUUAUGUCCAGGGCUACACACGUGCUACAAUGGGCGGUACAAACCGCAGCAAACCCGCGAGGGGGAGCAAAUCGGAAAAAACCGUUCUCAGUUCGGAUUGCAGGCCGCAACCCGCCUGCAUGAAGCUGGAAUCGCUAGUAAUGGUAUAUCAGAACGAUACCGUGAAUACGUUCCCGGGUCUUGUACACACGCAAU
Molecule: ribosomal RNA, 440 nt
Filed under: uncultured bacterium
Lineage: Bacteria
Description: bacterial SSU rRNA
Rfam family: Bacterial small subunit ribosomal RNA
Source: RNAcentral